CCCUCGGUGGUCUAGGGGUUUAUGAUUCAUCAUUGCAGCACCCAUGCUGCACCGAUAAGGUCGGGGGUUCGAAUCCCUCCCAAAUGG
This is a non-coding RNA of Xylaria arbuscula, 87 nucleotides long. NCBI's taxonomy places the organism in Eukaryota, Fungi, Ascomycota, Sordariomycetes, Xylariales, Xylariaceae. The record is from the annotation of a GenBank genome assembly.